UUCGGCAGCUAGCUCUCUGCAACUCUCACAUGGCCACCCACUGAAGCUAAGCAGGGCUGUGCGCGGUCAGUACCUGGAUGGGAGACCACAUGGGAAAGCUAGGUUGCUGCCGGAA
Non-coding RNA from Danio rerio (zebrafish), 115 nucleotides. NCBI's taxonomy places the organism in Eukaryota, Metazoa, Chordata, Actinopteri, Cypriniformes, Danionidae. The record is from Rfam.